ACCUGGUUGGCUCAGUUGGUUAAGUGUCUGACUUCAGCUCAGGUCAUGAUCUCAUGGUUCGUGGGUUCAAGCCCCACAUCAGGCU
Molecule: transfer RNA, 85 nt
Filed under: Felis catus (domestic cat)
Lineage: Eukaryota; Metazoa; Chordata; Mammalia; Carnivora; Felidae
Rfam family: tRNA
About the family: Transfer RNA (tRNA) molecules are approximately 80 nucleotides in length.
Source: Rfam by way of RNAcentral